RNAcentral lists this ribosomal RNA (301 nucleotides) under uncultured bacterium. Its description in RNAcentral is "partial 16S ribosomal RNA". It matches the Rfam family "Bacterial small subunit ribosomal RNA", at positions 509 to 807 of the family's 1533-position model. The record is from RNAcentral.
CAGUCGCCGCGGUAAUACGAAGGGUGCAAGAGUUAAUCGGAAUUACUGGGCGUAAAGCGUGCGUAGGCGGUUUGUUAAGUCUGCUGUGAAAUCCCCGGGCUCAACCUGGGAAUGGCAGUGGAUACUGGCAAGCUAGAGUGUGUCAGAGGAUGGUGGAAUUCCCGGUGUAGCGGUGAAAUGCGUAGAGAUCGGGAGGAACAUCAGUGGCGAAGGCGGCCAUCUGGGACAACACUGACGCUGAGGCACGAAAGCGUGGGGAGCAAACAGGGUUAGAUACCCCUGUAGUCCCUGUCUCUUAUAC